RNAcentral lists this ribosomal RNA (477 nucleotides) under uncultured bacterium. Its description in RNAcentral is "bacterial SSU rRNA". It matches the Rfam family "Bacterial small subunit ribosomal RNA", at positions 365 to 832 of the family's 1533-position model. The record is from RNAcentral.
UUCGCAAUGCCCGAAAGGGUGACGAAGCGACGCCGCGUGCGGGAGGAAGGCCUUCGGGUUGUAAACCGCUGUCGGGAGUUAAGAAAUGCAAGGAUGUUAAUAGCGUUCUUGCUUGACUAAGGCUCCGGAGGAAGCCACGGCUAACUCUGUGCCAACAGCCGCGGUAAUACAGAGGCGGCAAGCGUUGUUCGGAAUUAUUGGGCGUAAAGAGCACGUAGGCGGCUGUGUAAGUCGGUUGUGAAAGCCUUCCGCUCAACGGAAGAACGGCAUCCGAUACUGCAUGGCUUGAGUGUGGGAGGGGAGAGUGGAACUUCUGGUGGAGCGGUGAAAUGCGUAGAUAUCAGAAGGAACGCCGGCGGCGAAAGCGGCUCUCUGGCCCAUAACUGACGCUGAGUGUGCGAAAGCUAGGGGAGCAAACGGGAUUAGAUACCCCGGUAGUCCUAGCCGUAAACGAUGGGCACUAAGUAGAGGGGUUUU